UUUUUCUCACUUUGUCACCCUAUUAGAGCUAUUCAUAGGGUUGUCAAUUGGAAAAUUUUGGGUUGGAUCCAAACCGAUCCAAAUCUUAUCAAGUCAGUUUUCAACAAUCCAUUAUAGUUAUUGGGUUGGGUCAACCCAAAAUAAAAUCGCUUGUAUUAUUAUUGGUUUGAAUCGGCCCAAAACCAGAAACCAAUAGUUCAAAACCAAAAACCCUACCAAUUUGAAUCGAAACCAGACGCUAAGACAAGAAACUUUCGGCGGUCGUCUGAAGCAACUCUUCUCCGAUGCUCUGAAAAAACUGUUCGAACGUUCGAAGCAAUUCUUCUCCGACGGUCGUCUAUCAGGUGGCUCUUCUCUUUGUGGAAAGCAUUCUCCUCGACGGUUCGAAGAAACUCUGGAAAUCUAUAAGACUGGAACAUGAUUCUCUCGCUCUCUGUCAAGCGUUCUCUCCGGCGGUCAUCCAUCAAGUGGUUCUUCUCUUUGGCGGUUUGAAGCAACUCUAGACAUCAAGAUUUUCUCACUCUUCUCUCUCAGACGGAAAUAGGACUUUGGAUCCAUGUUUAGCCUAGUAAAGGCUGUUGGAGCCGCCUUAGAUUAGUUCUUGUGAUGGAAGACUGGAUAAAUAUUUUGUCAGGUUUGUUACUGAGCUUCGUUAAAUGGCAGAGGAAUCUCCCAUAGAACAAAUUAUUUUGAAGCCCAAAAAGGUCUCCCAUGUCUGUCUAGACAUCCUUUAUUCAUGUGACAAAUUUCAGCCAUAAUCACUUGCCACGUGUCAAAUAAUAAGUCAUUCUUCUUUUGACCAAGCUUUAUAUUAAAAAAAAUCUAAGAUUAAACAGUUGAUAUUUGUUGGGAAAACCACUAGUACGAGGUGAGGAAGCUUCCUAUAAAUAUGGGGUUUUGGUCCUCAUCCUUGCCAUCAAACAAAUUCAUAGCCACACCACAGCAGCAGUUCAACACGAAAAAGGAGUGAAUAUCAAGACUUGCUCUUCAAGAAAAGAGAGAACCAAUUUUCAUGCAGCUAAACUAAUGGCAAUAAGUAUGCACAUGCUAUUUUAGACUGAUCACAAUGCUCCUGUCCUGGGUCCUGGACUCCUGGGAAGAUUCCUGAAACUUAUAACAUAAUUACACAAGAGAAGCUGAUAGGAAUGGAUAGGUCCACUUGGUUGGACUUCCAAUGUCCAAACACAGUUGGGAACUAUUUUGAAAGUGUGCCUCCAUUGUUCUUGGAAAGAAAGCCUCAUGUAAAUUGUGCUAAUAAGGGAAAAGGUGUAGGGCAUUUGAGGUGCAUUUUACAAUACAUACAGCAAAAAGGAAUUAGAAAAGGUGCAUGACAGUUGAGGUGCAUUUUGCUUCAUCAUAAUUGUGCUAGUACUAAUUCCUUUUAACCAUGUGGGAGAUGUCUAGCCAACCUGAACAUCUGGGUCAGCAUGGCUUUCUGCAAUUCUUGGGUUUCUACUUUACAUUUGAUAGUAGCUCCACUUUCAGAGAGUUAUAUCUUGCUUUUCUGGAUGAGUUCAUAUCCUCCUUUGAAUGGCGUGCAUCUUGAAUACAAUUGUAGUUCUCGGAGGGAGUUAUUCAAGGUCAUGUAUAUAUGGUGGUCAAAUAGAUUCAAUCAAUGAGUUAAAACAGUAGGAUUCUUUAUAAGUCCAGGAUUUCUUCAUUUCUUUCCUUCCUAGGAUUUUAUGAAAAAUUUUCUUAGCUGAAUGUAUUGAAAAACAAGUUAUUAUGAUCCAACCUUCUUCUCAUGUAGCAGGUUUUAGCCAAAUAAUCUUUCUACAUUAUGUAAAAAUAUGCACCUUUCUUCUAAGCACUUCCCCUCUUUCUUUCUUA
Long non-coding RNA from Nelumbo nucifera (sacred lotus), 1830 nucleotides. RefSeq lists it as uncharacterized. The record is from RefSeq and is a predicted model, not a curated record. Lineage: Eukaryota; Viridiplantae; Streptophyta; Magnoliopsida; Proteales; Nelumbonaceae.